RNAcentral lists this ribosomal RNA (350 nucleotides) under uncultured bacterium. RNAcentral's name for it is "bacterial SSU rRNA". It matches the Rfam family "Bacterial small subunit ribosomal RNA", at positions 46 to 392 of the family's 1533-position model. The record is from RNAcentral.
CGGCCGCGUCGACGCUUAACACAUGCAAGUCGAACGGAGUAGAAAUACUUAGUGGCGGACGGGUGAGUAACACGUGGGAACGUGCCUUUAGGUUCGGAAUAACUCAGGGAAACUUGUGCUAAUACCGAAUGUGCCCUUCGGGGGAAAGAUUUAUCGCCUUUAGAGCGGCCCGCGUCUGAUUAGCUAGUUGGUAGUGUAAUGGACUACCAAGGCGACGAUCAGUAGCUGGUCUGAGAGGAUGAUCAGCCACAUUGGGACUGAGACACGGCCCGGACUCCUACGGGAGGCAGCAGUCGGGAAUAUUGGACAAUGGGGGCAACCCUGAUCCAGCCAUGCCGUCGACGCGGCCG